RNAcentral lists this ribosomal RNA (465 nucleotides) under Vreelandella stevensii. RNAcentral's name for it is "partial 16S ribosomal RNA". It matches the Rfam family "Bacterial small subunit ribosomal RNA", at positions 338 to 795 of the family's 1533-position model. Lineage: Bacteria; Pseudomonadati; Pseudomonadota; Gammaproteobacteria; Oceanospirillales; Halomonadaceae. The record is from RNAcentral.
CCUACGGGAGGCUGCAGUGGGGAAUAUUGGACAAUGGGGGCAACCCUGAUCCAGCCAUGCCGCGUGUGUGAAGAAGGCCCUCGGGUUGUAAAGCACUUUCAGUGAGGAAGAACGCGUGGUGGUUAAUACCCAUCAGGAAAGACAUCACUCACAGAAGAAGCACCGGCUAACUCCGUGCCAGCAGCCGCGGUAAUACGGAGGGUGCGAGCGUGAAUCGGAAUUACUGGGCGUAAAGCGCGCGUAGGUGGCUUGAUAAGCCGGUUGUGAAAGCCCCGGGCUCAACCUGGGAACUGCAUCCGGAACUGUCAAGCUAGAGUGCAGGAGAGGAAGGUAGAAUUCCCGGUGUAGCGGUGAAAUGCGUAGAGAUCGGGAGGAAUACCAGUGGCGAAGGCGGCCUUCUGGACUGAAACUGACACUGAGGUGCGAAAGCGUGGGUAGCAAACAGGAUUAGAUACCCUUGUAGUC